Molecule: long non-coding RNA, 617 nt
Organism: Amphimedon queenslandica
Lineage: Eukaryota; Metazoa; Porifera; Demospongiae; Haplosclerida; Niphatidae
Exons: 4
Source: RefSeq, a predicted model, not a curated record
GUAGUCUAGCCUUACUUUUUAACAUAUUAAUGGCUAUAUGUAUCUAUGAAGCAUUCAGCCAAAUUAUUGAAGUACAUGUAAAUCCAUACAAUACUUGUAAAUGAGCCAUCAUAAGCUUUAUUAUGUAUUUUGGCUUACAUUUAAUUCUUAACCUAAAACAAGAGAAUUUCAUAUUAUUAUAGGAGCAACACGAAUAGUCAUUCAAAUUAAUCAUAGUUUGAUUGUGUUAUGUUAAAUAAUGUAACAAGUUAUUCAUGAUGAAUCUAACAUUAUCAUCAAAGGGCAAUAAGAUUAGUUGCUGUAGCAUUGGGACGCUAUAGCAAAAGCAUUGCUACUGGAUUGGACAGUGUAGCUGCUUGGAACAACUCUUCAGUGGACUGGACUAUGGCUGCAAAAGCUCACUGUCAUUAUCUUGUUUUGAAAGCCUUCCAUUCAAGUAUAGAUGCAGCUAAAGUGUGUGAAGCUAAUUGUAAUAUAUUGAGAGUUUUGUGUUGCUUGUUUGGACUUCGUGGUAUAAUACAGUACAGUGGAGAAUUCUGCUUGGAUGGUUAUAUGAAUAGUGAUCAGAUUGAAAUGGUUAAAAAUCAACUUUAUUCGCUACUGAAGGAAGUCAGGUA